RNAcentral lists this ribosomal RNA (1419 nucleotides) under Lactiplantibacillus plantarum. Its description in RNAcentral is "bacterial SSU rRNA". It matches the Rfam family "Bacterial small subunit ribosomal RNA". Lineage: Bacteria; Bacillati; Bacillota; Bacilli; Lactobacillales; Lactobacillaceae. The record is from RNAcentral.
ACUCUGGUAUUGAUUGGUGCUUGCAUCAUGAUUUACAUUUGAGUGAGUGGCGAACUGGUGAGUAACACGUGGGAAACCUGCCCAGAAGCGGGGGAUAACACCUGGAAACAGAUGCUAAUACCGCAUAACAACUUGGACCGCAUGGUCCGAGUUUGAAAGAUGGCUUCGGCUAUCACUUUUGGAUGGUCCCGCGGCGUAUUAGCUAGAUGGUGGGGUAACGGCUCACCAUGGCAAUGAUACGUAGCCGACCUGAGAGGGUAAUCGGCCACAUUGGGACUGAGACACGGCCCAAACUCCUACGGGAGGCAGCAGUAGGGAAUCUUCCACAAUGGACGAAAGUCUGAUGGAGCAACGCCGCGUGAGUGAAGAAGGGUUUCGGCUCGUAAAACUCUGUUGUUAAAGAAGAACAUAUCUGAGAGUAACUGUUCAGGUAUUGACGGUAUUUAACCAGAAAGCCACGGCUAACUACGUGCCAGCAGCCGCGGUAAUACGUAGGUGGCAAGCGUUGUCCGGAUUUAUUGGGCGUAAAGCGAGCGCAGGCGGUUUUUUAAGUCUGAUGUGAAAGCCUUCGGCUCAACCGAAGAAGUGCAUCGGAAACUGGGAAACUUGAGUGCAGAAGAGGACAGUGGAACUCCAUGUGUAGCGGUGAAAUGCGUAGAUAUAUGGAAGAACACCAGUGGCGAAGGCGGCUGUCUGGUCUGUAACUGACGCUGAGGCUCGAAAGUAUGGGUAGCAAACAGGAUUAGAUACCCUGGUAGUCCAUACCGUAAACGAUGAAUGCUAAGUGUUGGAGGGUUUCCGCCCUUCAGUGCUGCAGCUAACGCAUUAAGCAUUCCGCCUGGGGAGUACGGCCGCAAGGCUGAAACUCAAAGGAAUUGACGGGGGCCCGCACAAGCGGUGGAGCAUGUGGUUUAAUUCGAAGCUACGCGAAGAACCUUACCAGGUCUUGACAUACUAUGCAAAUCUAAGAGAUUAGACGUUCCCUUCGGGGACAUGGAUACAGGUGGUGCAUGGUUGUCGUCAGCUCGUGUCGUGAGAUGUUGGGUUAAGUCCCGCAACGAGCGCAACCCUUAUUAUCAGUUGCCAGCAUUAAGUUGGGCACUCUGGUGAGACUGCCGGUGACAAACCGGAGGAAGGUGGGGAUGACGUCAAAUCAUCAUGCCCCUUAUGACCUGGGCUACACACGUGCUACAAUGGAUGGUACAACGAGUUGCGAACUCGCGAGAGUAAGCUAAUCUCUUAAAGCCAUUCUCAGUUCGGAUUGUAGGCUGCAACUCGCCUACAUGAAGUCGGAAUCGCUAGUAAUCGCGGAUCAGCAUGCCGCGGUGAAUACGUUCCCGGGCCUUGUACACACCGCCCGUCACACCAUGAGAGUUUGUAACACCCAAAGUCGGUGGGGUAACCUUUUAGGAACCAGCC